UACGUAGGUGGCAAGCGUUAUCCGGAUUUAUUGGGCGUAAAGAGAGCGCAGGCGGUCUUUUAAGUCUGAUGUGAAAGCCUUCGGCUUAACCGGAGUAGUGCAUUGGAAACUGGGAGACUUGAGUGCAGAAGAGGAGAGUGGAACUCCAUGUGUAGCGGUGAAAUGCGUAGAUAUAUGGAAGAACACCAGUGGCGAAAGCGGCUCUCUGGUCUGUAACUGACGCUGAGGUUCGAAAGCGUGGGUAGCAAAUAGG
This 253-nucleotide ribosomal RNA is filed under the name uncultured bacterium. RNAcentral's name for it is "partial 16S ribosomal RNA". It matches the Rfam family "Bacterial small subunit ribosomal RNA", at positions 524 to 776 of the family's 1533-position model. The record is from RNAcentral.